Molecule: unclassified non-coding RNA, 329 nt
Filed under: soil metagenome
Description: partial contains 5.8S ribosomal RNA, internal transcribed spacer 2, and large subunit ribosomal RNA
Rfam family: 5.8S ribosomal RNA (bases 1-120)
Source: RNAcentral
GAUCAAGAACGCAGCGAAAUGCGAUAAGUAAUGUGAAUUGCAGAAUUCAGUGAAUCAUCGAAUCUUUGAACGCACAUUGCGCCCCUUGGUAUUCCGAGGGGCAUGCCUGUUCGAGCGUCAUUAUAACCCCUCAAGCUCAGCUUGGUGUUGGGGCCUGCUGCACUGGCAGCCCUUAAAAUCAGUGGCGGCGCCAUCUGGCUCUAAGCGUAGUAAUUCUUCUCGCUAUGGAGUCCUGGUGGAUGCUUGCCAUCAACCCCCAAUUUUUCUAUGGUUGACCUCGGAUCAGGUAGGGAUACCCGCUGAACUUAAGCAUAUCAAUAAGCGGAGGA